Molecule: long non-coding RNA, 998 nt
Filed under: Mytilus galloprovincialis (Mediterranean mussel)
Lineage: Eukaryota; Metazoa; Mollusca; Bivalvia; Mytilida; Mytilidae
Source: RNAcentral
GUAUUCCUGAUUUUUACAUUUUUGAUUUGUUUUAUGACAAAGGGGAAGCUUUAUAAAAUAUAAUCCUUGCUUUACGAAAGCUGAUGAUUUAGUUCUCAUUUAAUCUGCUAGUUAUAUGAAAAUAAGAAAAUGUAGUAUGAUUGCUUAUGAGACAAAUCUCCACUACAGACCAAAUGACACAAAAAUUAACAACUAUUAGCAACGUUAUGGCCUUCAACAAUGAGUAAAAGCCGUAUUGGUAAGUCAGUUAAAAGAGGCCUCAAAUGAUAACAUUAAUUUAAACAAGAAAAUUGAUAAAGCUAAAGGCCUGAUAUGAGUGCAAAACAUUGAAUGAAAAACAUAUAAAAUGCACAGCAACAAACGACAACCACUGCAUUAUAGAUAAUGGCUUGGUAGAGAGACAUACCGAAUGGGGCGGGGUUAAACUAGCAAGAAGAUGUCAAAACCCUGCACUAACCUAGAAAAGUUGUGAAACAGUAUAAACUAAGGACAAACUUUAAAAAUCAGUUGAAUAUUUUUAAAACAUCGGUCGAUGCAAAGCAGAAAUACGUCUAACCAAAAAACAAAGUGGACGUGGCAGGGUACUUAAACAUUUUCAUAACAAUAUUAUUAAACAGUUAAUGAUAGCUAGUUCAAAGCAAAUAACAAAUAAUAAAACAAUCACGCAUCCAAGACUAGUACUUUAUAAUGGAGAUAUUUUAGAUAUCAAUCAUUUCGAGCCUCUCUCUUGGACUGUUUUGCGUUUCGUGCUUUUUCUUUUGUUCAGUCAAAAUUUAACCAAGGGAAAUUGAAAACAAUCCGUAUAUUUACGGAUCAGUCGACCAUACUGGUAUCUCAAAAGAGGGACGAAAGAUAUCAAAGGGACAGUCAUGCAAGUGUAGAGAUACCGGUACGUUGUAUCGUUGUAUCGUUUUUUGUUUCUUCUUAUAGUUGAUAUGUUUUCCUCGGUUUUAGUUUGAGACCCGUAUUUGUUUUCUCACAUUCGAUUUUGUUUUGUA